This 395-nucleotide ribosomal RNA is filed under the name Klebsiella oxytoca. RNAcentral's name for it is "bacterial SSU rRNA". It matches the Rfam family "Bacterial small subunit ribosomal RNA", at positions 989 to 1384 of the family's 1533-position model. Lineage: Bacteria; Pseudomonadati; Pseudomonadota; Gammaproteobacteria; Enterobacterales; Enterobacteriaceae. The record is from RNAcentral.
CAGAGAACUUAGCAGACAUGCUUUNGUGCUUCGGGAACUCUGAGACAGGUGCUGUAUGGCUGUCGUCAGCUCGUGUUGUGAAAUGUUGGGUUAAGUCCCGCAACGAGCGCCAACCNUUAUCCUUUGUUGCCAGCGGUCCGGCCGGGAACUCAAAGGAGACUGCCAGUGAUAAACUGGAGGAAGGUGGGGAUGACGUCAAGUCAUCAUGGCCCUUACGAGUAGGGCUACACACGUGCUACAAUGGCAUAUACAAAGAGAAGCGACCUCGCGAGAGCAAGCGGACCUCAUAAAGUAUGUCGUAGUCCGGAUUGGAGUCUGCAACUCGACUCCAUGAAGUCGGAAUCGCUAGUAAUCGUGGAUCAGAAUGCCACGGUGAAUACGUUCCCGGGUCUUGU